ACCUGUGACAGAGGAGAAGACUUGAAUUUGUGGAGCUGAGUGUCUCUGCCUGGGUCACCCCAGUUUAUCAGUUAAGCCAGAGAAGGUCUAAAGUCCUUCUGGCCAGCCUUCUACUUCGGUGAAAAGUAAAUAAGUGGACAGUGUUAAAUCUACAACCAUCCCUGCUCCAGACUUUUCGGGAAGAAAUGGUACUUUGUAAAGAAGGUACCCGGUGGAUGGAGUCAAGAACAGACAUUUGUGAAUCAACAAGGACCACCAACUGCCCUUAAUCCUAUAGAAAGUCUGGGGAAACUGAGGUUUAAAGAUAUAAAUCUCUUGCCCAAGUUGUUUUCUUUUUUAAACUUUAUUUUAUGUGUAUGAAUGUUUCCCCUGCGUGUGUGUUCAUGUGCCACAUGCAUGCAGUGCCUGCAGAGGCCAGAAGAGGGGUGUCGGAUCCCCUGGCAUUAUAGAAGACUGUGACCCGCCAUGUGGGUGCUAGGAACUGAACCUGGAUCCUGGGGAGGAGCAGGCAGUGCUCUCAACCUCUGAGCCACGUCUCCAGCUCCUGAGUGACUACCAACCUGGGAUCAGGCUUCUUACUUCUGUACAAGUAAUCCUUCAUGAGGAAGAGAGACCAAGUCUGGAAUGCGGUGAAGUAAGCAGAGAAGAUUUUAUGGCGUUUCACAAAUUUCUCUUGGCCUCCGAGACAGCAAAAUAAUCAUACAAAGAAACCAAGCCCUUUGCCUGCAGGACAAUACAUGGGUUUUUAUUAAAAGAGGAAUUUAAAUGC
This 769-nucleotide long non-coding RNA is filed under the name Mus musculus (house mouse). RNAcentral describes it as "RIKEN cDNA 4930545H06 gene (4930545H06Rik)". Lineage: Eukaryota; Metazoa; Chordata; Mammalia; Rodentia; Muridae. The record is from RNAcentral.